RNAcentral lists this ribosomal RNA (1155 nucleotides) under uncultured bacterium. RNAcentral describes it as "bacterial SSU rRNA". It matches the Rfam family "Bacterial small subunit ribosomal RNA", at positions 189 to 1351 of the family's 1533-position model. The record is from RNAcentral.
CAUGAGUGAUGGUGGAAAGUUUUUUCGGUUGGGGAUGGGCUCGCGGCCUAUCAGUUUGUUGGUGAGGUAAUGGCUCACCAAGACGACGACGGGUAGCCGGCCUGGGAGGGCGACCGGCCACACUGGGACUGAGACACGGCCCAGACUCCUACGGGAGGCAGCAGUGGGGAAUAUUGCACAAUGGGGGAAACCCUGAUGCAGCGACGCAGCGUGCGGGAUGACGGCCUUCGGGUUGUAAACCGCUUUCAGCAGGGAAGAAGCCCCUCGGGGUGACGGUACCUGCAGAAGAAGUACCGGCUAACUACGUGCCAGCAGCCGCGGUAAUACGUAGGGUACAAGCGUUGUCCGGAAUUAUUGGGCGUAAAGAGCUCGUAGGUGGUUGGUCACGUCUGCUGCGGAAACGCAACGCUUAACGUUGCGCGUGCAGUGGGUACGGGCUGACUAGAGUGCAGUAGGGGAGUCUGGAAUUCCUGGUGUAGCGGUGAAAUGCGCAGAUAUCAGGAGGAACACCGGUGGCGAAGGCGGGACUCUGGGCUGUAACUGACACUGAGGAGCGAAAGCAUGGGGAGCGAACAGGAUUAGAUACCCUGGUAGUCCAUGCCGUAAACGUUGGGCACUAGGUGUGGGGGACAUUCCACGUUCUCCGCGCCGUAGCUAACGCAUUAAGUGCCCCGCCUGGGGAGUACGGUCGCAAGGCUAAAACUCAAAGGAAUUGACGGGGGCCCGCACAAGCGGCGGAGCAUGCGGAUUAAUUCGAUGCAACGCGAAGAACCUUACCAAGGCUUGACAUACACCAGACCGUUCUGGAAACAGUUCCUCCCCUUUGGGGUUGGUGUACAGGUGGUGCAUGGUUGUCGUCAGCUCGUGUCGUGAGAUGUUGGGUUAAGUCCCGCAACGAGCGCAACCCUCGUUCUAUGUUGCCAGCACGUGAUGGUGGGAACUCAUAGGAGACUGCCGGGGUCAACUCGGAGGAAGGUGGGGAUGACGUCAAAUCAUCAUGCCCUUUAUGUCUUGGGCUUCACGCAUGCUACAAUGGCUGGUACAGAGAGAUGCGAGACCGCGAGGUUUUAGCGAAUCCCUUAAAGCCAGUCUCAGUUCGGAUCGUAGUCUGCAAUUCGACUACGUGAAGUCGGAGUCGCUAGUAAUCGCAGAUCA